RNAcentral lists this ribosomal RNA (524 nucleotides) under Ozestheria cf. packardi H MS-2015. Its description in RNAcentral is "eukaryotic LSU rRNA". It matches the Rfam family "Eukaryotic large subunit ribosomal RNA", at positions 221 to 553 of the family's 3401-position model. The record is from RNAcentral. Lineage: Eukaryota; Metazoa; Arthropoda; Branchiopoda; Diplostraca; Cyzicidae.
CCGUAGGACUGAGCCGCGACGGCGUAUUGGGUCUCUCCUUAGAGUCGGGUUGCUUGAGAGUGCAGCCCUAAGUGGGAGGUAAACUCCUUCUAAGGCUAAAUACGGCCACGAGACCGAUAGCGAACAAGUACCGCGAGGGAAAGUUGAAAAGAACUUUGAAGAGAGAGUUCAAUAGUGCGUGAAACCGUUCAGGGGGUUAAACGGGUGGGCCCUCGAAGGUCGAACGCUCUCUACUCGCGUCUCCGCUCGUCGGUCCGUGCCGCUUUUCCGAUCUCGCUACGGGACGGAGCGGUGCGGUAACUGGUGCGAGCGGGGGCGUUUAGUUAGAGGGCCAGUAGGACUCCGCAACCGUCUGGAGCAGUCGUCAGAAGGGCUCUGGUAGAAAGCCUCCUCGUGGGGUGGACUCCGGGGUUCCGGGCGAUCUCUCCGGCCGUGAACCGGCAUUCCACUCGGCUGGCGUUCGUGACGAGCUUCCCCUUCACGGGGGGAGUUGUCGGUUGCGGGCGUCACCGGGGGACGCUAGC